CUUCUUUAUUUAGCUUGCAUUUUAUUUAAACUGUUUCAAUCUCGUGCUUUCUUCAUGCUACAAACAUGUUUUAUAAAAUUUUUGAUAUCUACCGGGUGGGGAAAAAAAAGUACGACUGUUUGAUUUACUAUGACUCAAAAACUAAAAGAGCUAUUACACUUAAAUAAAUCACCCUAUAUUCCGCGAUGUUUAACUUAGAUUUUGAUAUAUGUCUGGUGCAUUUUCAUGCGUUUAUGACUGAGAUAAUUGUGUUUAAACUUACGCAAACAUUUUUGGAACCGCCAGUAAUUAGCUGAAAAACCCCUAUUAAACUAAUUCAAUAACCGU
Molecule: non-coding RNA, 327 nt
Organism: Paramuricea clavata
Lineage: Eukaryota; Metazoa; Cnidaria; Anthozoa; Malacalcyonacea; Plexauridae
Source: the annotation of a GenBank genome assembly